UUAUAUAUCUCUGUGAACAGAGUCUGAACCGACAGAAACCAUGAGCUUCAUCAGCAUCUUCAUCUGGAUCUUCACCAGCUGCUGUUUCACAGCAGCUGGAGUCACAGUCACUCAGACACCUGAAGAGAAACCUGUUCAACCUGGAGACACAGUUACCAUGUCCUGCAAAACCAGUCCUGAAGUUCACCAGGGUUGGGGAGUUCAGCCUCUUAGCUGGUACUUACAGAAACCUGGAGAAGCUCCUAAACUCCUGAUUUAUUACGCUAACCGUCUCCAGUCAGGAACUCCAUCUAGAUUCAGAGGAAGUGGAUCUAAAAGUGAUUUCUCUCUGACCAUCAGUGGAGUCCAGACUGAAGAUGCUGGACAUUAUUACUGUCAGAGUUUUCACUGCAGAACAGAUUCAGAUGGUGAUUGUGAGAGUGAUUAUGUGUUCACACAGUGAUAAAGAGUCGUACAAAAACCUCCUUCAUUCAGAGUCUCAGAGACUGAACUGAAACUAUCUCUCACUCAACAGAGCAGAAACA
Non-coding RNA from Puntigrus tetrazona (Sumatra barb), 524 nucleotides. The record is from the annotation of a RefSeq genome assembly. NCBI's taxonomy places the organism in Eukaryota, Metazoa, Chordata, Actinopteri, Cypriniformes, Cyprinidae.